RNAcentral lists this ribosomal RNA (478 nucleotides) under uncultured bacterium. RNAcentral's name for it is "partial 16S ribosomal RNA". It matches the Rfam family "Bacterial small subunit ribosomal RNA", at positions 28 to 523 of the family's 1533-position model. The record is from RNAcentral.
GACGAACGCUGGCGGCGUGCUUAACACAUGCAAGUCGAACGGUAAGGCCCUUCGGGGUACACGAGUGGCGAACGGGUGAGUAACACGUGGGUGAUCUGCCCUGCACUUCGGGAUAAGCCUGGGAAACUGGGUCUAAUACCGGAUAGGACUCCGGACUGCAUGGUCUGGGGUGGAAAGCUUUUGCGGUGUGGGAUGGGCCCGCGGCCUAUCAGCUUGUUGGUGGGGUGAUGGCCUACCAAGGCGACGACGGGUAGCCGGCCGGAGAGGGUGACCGGCAACACUGGGACUGAGAUACGGCCCAGCCUCCUACGGGAGGCAGCAGUGGGGAAUAUUGCAAAAUGGGCGCAAGCCUGAUGCAGCGACGCCGCGUGAGGGAUGACGGCCUUCGGGUUGUAAACCUCUUUCAGCAUCGACGAAGCGAAAGUGACGGUAGGUGCAGAAGAAGGACCGGCCAACUACGUGCCAGCAGCCGCGGUAA